AUUGAACGCUGGCGGCGUGCUUAACACAUGCAAGUCGUGCGGUAACAGGCGUAGCAAUACGUGCUGACGAGCGGCGAACGGGUGCGUAAUACAUGGGAAUCUGCCCUUUAGUGGGGAAUAACCCGGCGAAAGCCGGGCUAAUGCCGCAUAAGAUCUUCGGAUGAAAGCGGGGGACCGUAAGGCCUCGCGCUGAUGGAUGAGCCCAUGUCGGAUUAGCUAGUUGGGAGGUAACGGCUCACCAAGGCGACGAUCCGUAGCUGGUCUGAGAGGACGGCCAGCCACACUGGGACUGAGACACGGCCCAGACUCCUACGGGAGGCAGCAGUGGGGAAUAUUGGACAAUGGGCGAAAGCCUGAUCCAGCGACGCCGCGUGUGUGAAGAAGG
RNAcentral lists this ribosomal RNA (385 nucleotides) under uncultured bacterium. Its description in RNAcentral is "bacterial SSU rRNA". It matches the Rfam family "Bacterial small subunit ribosomal RNA", at positions 29 to 414 of the family's 1533-position model. The record is from RNAcentral.